UAUCCGAAUCCGAAUUUAUUUGGCGGAUACAGUAAUGAAAAUUUAGCACUCGGUGCAUAUUCGCGUUUAAAUUCGCAUUCGAAAAAAAAUAUGGAUGCAUGUAUGAUUUUGUCAAAAUUUAGUUUUUUAUCAUAUUUUUUGUUUAUUUUAUUAUGAGUUUAAUGUUAAAAUUAUAUUUAUAUUUGUUAAAUGUUAGAUUUUAUUGAAUAAAAUAUAGUAUAUGAAAUUUAAACAGGACUGCAGGAGUUUUGUUGUGUUAUGUCUUACUAGUGUAGCGCGAUGCGGCAUAUAUAAUCAUAUUUGAUUAAAUUUAAUAAUAUAAAAAAUAUUUUUAAAUUUUUAGAAUAGAAUUUUAAUUCAAUGAAAACAACAAAAGAUAAAAAAUCUAUAGGAGAAAAAAAUUUAUUACAUAAAAAUUGG
This 420-nucleotide long non-coding RNA is filed under the name Ananas comosus (pineapple). RNAcentral's name for it is "long non-coding RNA (ACOM_LNC031256)". The record is from RNAcentral. Lineage: Eukaryota; Viridiplantae; Streptophyta; Magnoliopsida; Poales; Bromeliaceae.